UAGAGGAAGUAAAAGUCGUAACAAGGUUUCCGUAGGUGAACCUGCGGAAGGAUCAUUAUUGAAAUAAACCUGAUGGGUUGUUGCUGGUUCUUUAUUCAAUGAACAUGUGCACACUUGUCAUCUUUAUAUCUCCACCUGUGCACCUUUUGUAGACCAUUUUCCUGGUCUAUGUUUAUUUCAUAUACCCUAAUGUAUGUUUAUAGAAUGUAAUGUAUGUGGGCCUUUUGUGGCCUAUAAUGCUUUAUACAACUUUCAGCAACGGAUCUCUUGGCUCUCGCAUCGAUGAAGAACGCAGCGAAAUGCGAUAAGUAAUGUGAAUUGCAGAAUUCAGUGAAUCAUCGAAUCUUUGAACGCACCUUGCGCUCCUUGGUAUUCCGAGGAGCAUGCCUGUUUGAGUGUCAUUAAUAUUAUCAACCUCCUUUAGCUUUUGCUUAUUGAGUGUUGGAUGUGGGGGGUUGCUGCUGGUCUCUUUAAAAAGAGGUCAGCUCCCCUAAAAUGCAUUAGCAGAACAAUUUGUUGACUUGUUCAUUGGUGUGAUAAUUAUCUACACUAUUGACAUGAGAUGACAGUUCAGCUUCUAACCAUAGCCUUUUAUUAAUGUGACCUCAAAUCAGGUAGGACUACCCGCUGAACUUAAGCAU
RNAcentral lists this ribosomal RNA (641 nucleotides) under uncultured fungus. RNAcentral's name for it is "eukaryotic LSU rRNA". The stretch from base 248 to 401 matches the Rfam family "5.8S ribosomal RNA". Lineage: Eukaryota; Fungi. The record is from RNAcentral.